AUACGGAGGGUGCAAGCGUUACUCGGAAUCACUGGGCGUAAAGCGCGCGCAGGCGGCUUGGUAAGUUGGAUGUGAAAGCCUACGGCUCAACCGUAGAACUGCAUCCAAAACUGUCAAGCUAGAGUGUGGGAGAGGAAGAUGGAAUUAGUUGUGUAGGGGUAAAUCCGUAGAGAUAACUAGGAAUACCAAAAGCGAAGGCAAUCUUCUGGAACACUACUGACGCUGAGGCGCGAAAGCGUGGGGAGCAAACAGGAUUAGAAACCCUAGUAGUCC
This 273-nucleotide ribosomal RNA is filed under the name uncultured bacterium. RNAcentral's name for it is "partial 16S ribosomal RNA". It matches the Rfam family "Bacterial small subunit ribosomal RNA", at positions 523 to 796 of the family's 1533-position model. The record is from RNAcentral.